This 158-nucleotide ribosomal RNA is filed under the name Hericium erinaceus (lion's mane mushroom). Its description in RNAcentral is "5.8S ribosomal RNA". It matches the Rfam family "5.8S ribosomal RNA". Rfam says of the family: 5.8S ribosomal RNA (5.8S rRNA) is a component of the large subunit of the eukaryotic ribosome. It is transcribed by RNA polymerase I as part of the 45S precursor that also contains 18S and 28S rRNA. Lineage: Eukaryota; Fungi; Basidiomycota; Agaricomycetes; Russulales; Hericiaceae. RNAcentral also lists the same sequence under 3 other names. The record is from RNAcentral.
CAACUUUCAACAACGGAUCUCUUGGCUCUCGCAUCGAUGAAGAACGCAGCGAAAUGCGAUAAGUAAUGUGAAUUGCAGAAUUCAGUGAAUCAUCGAAUCUUUGAACGCACCUUGCGCCCCUUGGUAUUCCGAGGGGCACGCCUGUUCGAGUGUCGUGA